UUGAGUUACCAAAAGGGAAUACCCCUUUGUUCGGUCGAUAGCUGGAUACUGAUUUUGUUAAUUAAGCGUAUGUUAAGUACGUCAGUCUAGUUGGGAAGAGAGCAUAAGCUCUCUUUUCUUUUAUGG
RNAcentral lists this non-coding RNA (126 nucleotides) under unclassified sequences. Its description in RNAcentral is "DUF3800-I RNA". It matches the Rfam family "DUF3800-I RNA". From Rfam's summary of the family: Actinobacteria, Firmicutes, Fusobacteria, Proteobacteria (1 example), Tenericutes (2 examples). Terminator (Clostridia) The record is from Rfam by way of RNAcentral.